UGGGAAGUGUGGCUACACCGUGGCUUGGUC
Molecule: non-coding RNA, 30 nt
Filed under: Homo sapiens (human)
Lineage: Eukaryota; Metazoa; Chordata; Mammalia; Primates; Hominidae
Source: RNAcentral